GGGCCAACAAAUCAGGCGAGACAUCUGAAUUCUACAGAAAAAUAGUACAGAGGAGCAAGGGAGGGAGCGGGGCAAGGCAACCUCGGCAGGCACGGGAACGGUGCAGGGGUUCCGGAGACGACGCCACACGCCUGGAAGAGCCGCUGGAUGGGGGACACCCUUCUCGCUCGCCGCGGCUGACGCCCAGCCGCCGCCGCCGCCAUCUCCACUGUCAACACCUCAAUUAUCCCCGCCCGAGCUCCACCAUCACCGUCCCCAUCACAGGCAACUCCAAGCCUCGAUCUUUGACGCGAAAACGAACAAGGAGGCGGAGGCUGUCUUGCAGUAGGAGAGGGCCGACAUCCCGGACGGGAGCGGCGCCACCGCUCUGAUGAGACAAGCAGCGGGCAAAAUCUUGAAGCCAACUCGCUUGCCGUGCCCCUCCUUCACGCCGACGGACGGCUGCAGCCUGCAGCGACGGGAACAGAACGAGAUCGAGGGGAGCGCUAGCUGGUUCACUGGAUCUCUCCGCUGCCCACGGCCGGCUGUCGGAAGGUAAAGCGAAAGGGGAAGGAG
RNAcentral lists this ribosomal RNA (555 nucleotides) under Triticum aestivum (bread wheat). Its description in RNAcentral is "partial small subunit ribosomal RNA". The record is from RNAcentral. Lineage: Eukaryota; Viridiplantae; Streptophyta; Magnoliopsida; Poales; Poaceae.